This is a long non-coding RNA of Alexandromys fortis (reed vole), 491 nucleotides long. RefSeq lists it as uncharacterized. Lineage: Eukaryota; Metazoa; Chordata; Mammalia; Rodentia; Cricetidae. The record is from RefSeq and is a predicted model, not a curated record. The transcript is spliced from 3 exons.
UGGCUCGCUACAGCGCUUGCGUACAACUACAAGGGCGGGUGCUGGGGUUGAGGCUUUGAAUUAAUGCUGCAGGCACUGCACCUGUUGCUGUUGAGAUGGAGCAGCAGACUAGUAAUCCUACUGACCAAAAAGUUUCAGGUGCUCAAGAACUUCAGAAGCCAGCUAUCUGGGACUGGAAACAUCUGUUCUUCCUUCUGUCAUUGUCCUUCCUUGUAGGGAUAAGUCCCACCCCUUAGGGGGCGUGUUCGCCUCAGGCUAAAGUUUGCCUAUAAAUUUGGCGAGCAUGCUCCCAGCCCUCGCUUCUGCUUUCCUGGUCUCCACGGGAAUGGUGGUUCUGUAAGUGUAUUCCUCCAUUAAAGCUGUCUAUAUUUUGACAAUCUGUCUGCAUUUGCUUACGCCGUUACAUUUUGGUGCCCAACGUGGGGCUAUUUUGCCCCCGACUCAAGCGCAUAGCCUGCUAGCUAACACAGCAUGCUACUGGGUGUCAUUUU